AACUGGACACCAGUGGCAACACAUUUACCCCGUGUCCAUUGGCUGAGUGCUACUGACUGAAAUCGCUGGCUCUACCUCAGUUUGCAGCAGCAAAGUGUCUGGUCUUGCUUGGAACUACUUGAGAAAUGGCACUUACUGUUCUUAUCCACAUUCUCACCUUAUGAAAUCUCUGAGUGUGUGCCAAAGUAUCUCAUGGCUUACCUCCCCCACAAGGGUGGACAGAUUUAGGGAAGCUCUAAACAGCACAGAGAAAGACCAUGGUUUGCUCUCCUGCUUUUGCUUAGCUGGCCAACAGGUGAAUCCUGAAUGAACAGGUCAGCUCAGGAACAAGAAGGAUCUAAAGAGAUCAAAAUAACAGCUUGUACGUGGUGAGAAAGGAAAGACCCAAGAGAUGGCAAAGGGUUCCCACCAUUUCAUCUGCCCAGUUUUUUUGGUAUUGUUUGAAAAAAAGAAAACAUCUCAGGCAGAUGUUAUUUGUUUGCAGCCAUGCCAUUCUUAAAAUACACAAGAAAUAUACGAUGAAGACCAGCAGUGGAAAAAAACACUACAGCAUACACUUGAAUAUACAAAGUAUUAUUUUUAACUGCUUUCCCAAAAGGACUGUGAUUUUAAUAAUAAUCUGCUUUGUUGAAGCAUCUCUCAGAUGAGGACCUCAAAUUGUGGUAGACAAAUUGUCUCAACAUGUCUGUGGAAUAGCUCAACUCAAUGCACUGAUGCUAAGAGGCUGAAAUCCCUGUUCCUGCAGCUUGCCUCUAUGUAAGAAAUUGUCAACAAGUCAUAUUUUCUGGGGCUGUCUUUCACUGGAUCAUUUCUUUCACCCUGUGGACCAUGCGGCUGCACAAAUGCUUGAGCUGACACCAGCAAAAGGGCAGGUUCAGCUAAUGAGUGACUCAGCCUUAUAUAAGAAAAGUCUGGAUGGGGCAUAAUAAAUCAGAACUGACUGUGGCCAUGCUCAGCACUUCUAAGGAUCAGGCCUGCACAAGUCACCUCAAAUUAAAAUUCCUUGUCUGAAAGCAGCUCUGGAAAGUCAAUGGCAAACCAAUCUGUUACGAAGAAUAUAAACACCUGGCAACAAACGUAGACAAGAGAGGGUAGCAGUGAAAUGCAAAGCGCCGUUCAGAGGAUCCUGCAACAGGCUUCACUCUUGGUUUCUGCUUGCUUUCUCUCUCUGGAGAGCAGAUGAAUGUAUCUAGUGAAACGAGGUUCCUAGAAAGAAGCUCAAGUUCCAGAUGGCUGAUACCACGCAAGCACCAGCUGUGAGGAGAUGUUGAGACCUUUGUCAAGCAAUACCAAGGAGCAGCCAGUAGUCACCUGGGCACUGGAAACAUUUUCCAUGACACCAAGAGCUCACAACUCUACGAGAGAAUGCAUGGCGGUCUCUAGAAGGACUUCGUUUUUCUUCAAAGGACGAUUGUUUUGCUGUGCCCACACCACUGCGAUGGAGCUGCACCGAUGAAAUAGGGGCUUUGUGAGCAGUUCCUCGUCCUGGGUGAGGAGGAGCCUCCUCUGCAGCCGUGUGAAAGCUUAUCCUCACUUGGAUGGCGAUCAGCAUGCCUCGGUGGAUGGAGCGUUGGCCGCCUGUGUGUCAUUAAGGAGCUCGAAGAGUCAAUUCAGUCCAGACAGUAAACAAUGAAUUGCUGACACUUUCGGCUCUGCUGGGGCUAAAGAAUACCAGCGCACACAUCUGAGCCCUAUCAGUGGAAACACACAAGGAUUAGAUUCUUUUGGUGACGGCUGCAGUUUUAUUGUGAAUAAUCUGAUGGGAGCCUGAUGGUGUCCAACACAUCCAUUCUUGCCUUGUGAUUCUUUUGCCAUCUGAAAUGUUGUUAGUUUUAAUGACUUAAUUAUCCUUUAUAUUUUCAGUUAGAUGUGUGGGUUGUGUUGUUUUUUUCUUUUUUUUUUCUUUGAGUUAUAAUUAGUUUCCCUGAGAGGCAGCAGCUUUAAUGCUUGGUUAGUUUUCUGAGAAGCUGGGACUGAAAGAAUCUUUUGGGAAAUGACAAUUACAUGUCCAUGGUUUUUAUUUGGUAUGCUUUAUUUCAGUCUUUGUCUGAGCUGAAAGCUCUUGUUGACUGGCAGAAGAUGGAUUGAUUCAGUGAAAUUAAGCAAUUUCAGUCCUCACCCCCCCCCCCCCCCCAAAAAAAAAAAAAAACAUACAAAGAACUUGUAUGUUGACUGAAAGUAAAGUGAAUUUCUUUUGCUGAAUUUUUACAAAGUACUUAGCUGGGGAAAAAAUGCACACCCCUUCCCCCUAUCCCCAGGGCACCGAUUGACCCUGACGUGAUUUUUUUUUUUUUUGCUGAACUUUGCUGGAAGUUUAUCUCAACAGAAAAUUUCGUAAAAGAAGUGUGUGCUGUGCAAGGGAACAAUAACCUACGAAGCAAGAGCAGCAUAGAUUAUUCGUUAUCAAG
This is a long non-coding RNA of Cygnus atratus (black swan), 2408 nucleotides long. RefSeq lists it as uncharacterized. The transcript has 9 exons. The record is from RefSeq and is a predicted model, not a curated record. Lineage: Eukaryota; Metazoa; Chordata; Aves; Anseriformes; Anatidae.